This 1296-nucleotide unclassified non-coding RNA is filed under the name Haliotis rufescens (red abalone). RNAcentral describes it as "15-hydroxyprostaglandin dehydrogenase [NAD(+)]-like, transcript variant X2". The record is from RNAcentral. Lineage: Eukaryota; Metazoa; Mollusca; Gastropoda; Lepetellida; Haliotidae.
CAAUUUUGUCACAUGACAGGGCCCUAUAACAUUGUGCUAUAGCUCUGGACAAGACCAAGUUCAUCAUCAGUGUUGGUCCAAGCUUCGUCAGUGUCCAAGCUAGCUAUGCAACUCAAAGGAAAAACAGCAUUUCUCACUGGGGGUGUCGGGGGAAUUGGCGUAGCAUUUGCCCGUGCGUUGUUGGAAAAAGGCUGCAAGGUGUGUAUUACCGAUGUCAACGCAGAUGGUGGAAAGAAGCUGGAGGCAGAGCUGAAGCAGAAGUACCAAGAUGACGUCGUGUUUAUGCAGUGUGACGUCACUUGUGCCAGCAACAUGGAAGAAGUUUUCAAGACGGCGGUGGUUCGGUUCGGCGGUGUGGACAUCAUGCUGAACAACGCCGGCAUCAUGCACGAGGGACGCUGGGAGGCCAUGAUCAGCAUCAUGAUGCGUGGCACUGUGAUCGGGACGAACCUAGCCAUAGCUCACAUGAGGAAGGAUAAAGGGGGUAGAGGAGGGACCAUUAUCAACACCGCCUCUUGUGCAGGUAUCUACGUGUAUUUUACCACGCCCGUCUACUGUGCUGCCAAAUCCGGCAUCGUCGCCCACACGCGUGCAUGGGCGGACAUCCCUGACAGGGAACAGCUCGGCCUGCGGUUCGCUUGUAUCUGUCCGAAGCCAGUGGACACUCCCCUGAUGGACAUCACGCGAGAGAGCGUGAAUUACUUCCAGUACGAGUAUGAUGUGUGUCAACAGAUAGGGAGGAUGACGACGGAGACCAUAGCCGAGGGCCUUGUUGGCCUCUUGGAAGAUGACAGCAGUAACGGGGCUAUCCUCUACAUCUCCAAGGACGAGGGCUUUGCCAGGAAGAAGAUCUUGGUCGUCAAUGAGUCUGAUCUGAAGCAUGCCUAGAGGAUUGACUGCAAGGACAUAUUUCUAAGUGGGGCCUGAUUUUCACAAAAGACCUUGGUAAAGAGAGGUCGUGACAAUAGCCCCAACUACAAUGCUUCAAUUUCACACAUGGCACUAAUUACAAAGUGAAGAGUUAGAUAGGGAAUGGACACCAGACGCUGGCACAUAGUGUUGUGGGAAAGUCAUGCAGGCCACAGACCUUUACCACUUUGGUGCUGACAAAUCAGGAAUCAUAAUCAGGUUGAAUCUGGGAUCUGAGCCACACUUUGCCGUGGCUCCGGGGCACAUAUCUGUGUAGCAGCCUUAGAUGACCGGGACACAUAUGGCCUCCUAAAAUGUUACAGCUAAAUAUGCUUAUAGAUGUGACAGGAGAAAAUUGGUUUCUUCCAAUAUAAAUUGUGAACGAAU